CGAGAGGUGAGAAUCUGAGAUCUGAAACCAUUUGUUGAUCGUAUCCGAGGGUUGGAGAUGUUGGCCGUGUUCAAUCAGACGGUGGCGAAGAGCCCGGAGGGGCUGAGGAACCCGGCGGACGGGGAGGGCGGCGGCGCCCCAGCGUCGGCGGUGGUGGAGCACUUCGCGUCGGCGCGGGCUGGGGCGGUGACGAUUAGCCUCGGCGACGCCGGGUUCUUGGCCUACUCGUCGGAUAGGCAGAAUCCUCUCAUUCCCCGAUUAUUUGCUGUUGUAGACGACAUAUUUUGCUUAUUUCAAGGACACAUUGAGAAUAUUAUUCCUCUGAAGCAACAAUAUGGAUUGAAUAAGACUGCCAAUGAAGUUACAAUUGUAAUUGAAGCUUACAGAACAUUGAGAGAUAGAGGACCUUAUCCCGCUGACAAGGUUGUGAGAGAUUUUGGUGGAAAGUUUGCGUUUAU
This 458-nucleotide unclassified non-coding RNA is filed under the name Hevea brasiliensis (rubber tree). Lineage: Eukaryota; Viridiplantae; Streptophyta; Magnoliopsida; Malpighiales; Euphorbiaceae. The record is from RNAcentral.